Molecule: ribosomal RNA, 253 nt
Filed under: uncultured bacterium
Lineage: Bacteria
Description: partial 16S ribosomal RNA
Rfam family: Bacterial small subunit ribosomal RNA
Source: RNAcentral
UACGGAGGGUGCAAGCGUUAUCCGGAUUCACUGGGUUUAAAGGGUGCGUAGGUGGGUUGGUAAGUCAGUGGUGAAAUCUCCGGGCUUAACCUGGAAACUGCCAUUGAUACUAUCAGUCUUGAAUAUUGUGGAGGUCAGCGGAAUAUGUCAUGUAGCGGUGAAAUGCUUAGAUAUGACAUAGAACACCAAUUGCGAAGGCAGCUGGCUACGCAUAUAUUGACACUGAGGCACGAAAGCGUGGGGAUCAAACAGG